Molecule: ribosomal RNA, 433 nt
Filed under: uncultured bacterium
Lineage: Bacteria
Description: partial 16S ribosomal RNA
Rfam family: Bacterial small subunit ribosomal RNA
Source: RNAcentral
AACGAACGCUGGCGGCAUGCCUAACACAUGCAAGUCGAACGAGACCUUCGGGUCUAGUGGCGCACGGGUGCGUAACGCGUGGGAACCUGCCCUUAGGUUCGGAAUAACUCCCCGAAAGGGGUGCUAAUACCGGAUAAUGUCUUCGGACCAAAGAUUUAUCGCCCUUGGAUGGGCCCGCGUUGGAUUAGCUAGUUGGUAGGGUAAAAGCCUACCACGGCGAGGAUCCAUAGCUGGUCUGAGAGGAUGAGCAGCCACACUGGGACUGAGACACGGCCCAGACUCCUACGGGAGGCAGGAGUGGGGAAUAUUGGACAAUGGGCGGAAGCCUGAACCAGCAAUGCCGGGUGAGUGAUGAAGGCCUGAGGGUUGUAAAGCUCUUUUACCCGGGAUGAUAAUGACGGUACCGGGAGAAUAAGCUCCGGCUAACUCCGUG